CGCCUUCUGCCAAGACCCCUUAUUUUUCAAUAAAAAAAUUCAAAAGGAUAAGGUAGGGUGGGGUGAUAAGGAGGACCAUCUCUUCCUUCGAUUUUCUCUCGUCCGUGGUUUGGUUGCGAGUUGAAGCUUCCCUCGACACCUUUCACCACCAUCUCUUCAGCUCACAAAUUCUAUGUCUACGGUUAAGAGAUACAAAAAUCAACAACAAUAGCAGCAACAACCUCAACUCUCUCACUCUCUCACUCUCAUAUGGCACAAUUCUUUCGAGAGUUGUGGAGGCACCAUUAACGAACCUCUGAAAUCCCCAUAAAUAAAAUAACUAAGCUUCCGAUUCGGACCGAUUGUGAUACAACAGAAAACCAAGAUGAUUUAAUUUGAAAGCAAGCAAUCACAACGCUCAUAAAUUUGGGUGUUUAGUACAUUUCAAUGGCGACUACUCGGCUAGCAGUGGGAAAAAGCUUUUUAGAUGAUUCUGCAGCCUGGUCAGUCAAGCAGGCAAGGAGAGUGUUGGAGUUCUGGUGCUGCAUUGACUUUGUAGUUCUUAUGUUAGUUGAGCUUAUUUUUGCUCGAUUUUUGUUUUGUAGGACUAUUUUUUGGUUUGGUUUUGUUGGUCGAUGUGGUAAAUCCCUCUCCACAUGUGUACAUACAUUUGAGUAGCAUAUGUAUUUUUAUAGUGCUUACUAGUAAAGUUUUUUUGAUAAUGAGCUCUACUUUGUAACAUUUGAAGUUGUGGCCUAUAGUAUUUUGGAUAAUGUAUAUGCUGAAGUAUAUAUAUGAAUGGAGUUGAUUCUAUUA
Spinacia oleracea (spinach) is the source of this 795-nucleotide long non-coding RNA. RefSeq lists it as uncharacterized. The transcript is spliced from 4 exons. Lineage: Eukaryota; Viridiplantae; Streptophyta; Magnoliopsida; Caryophyllales; Amaranthaceae. The record is from RefSeq and is a predicted model, not a curated record.